RNAcentral lists this ribosomal RNA (468 nucleotides) under uncultured bacterium. RNAcentral describes it as "partial 16S ribosomal RNA". It matches the Rfam family "Bacterial small subunit ribosomal RNA", at positions 28 to 523 of the family's 1533-position model. The record is from RNAcentral.
GAUGAACGCUGGCGGCGUGCCUAACACAUGCAAGUCGAGCGGUUUACUUCGGUAAAGAGCGGCGGACGGGUGAGUAACGCGUGGGUAACCUGCCCUGUACACACGGAUAACAUACCGAAAGGUAUGCUAAUACGAGAUAAUAUACUUUUAUCGCAAGGUAGAAGUAUUAAAGCUUCUGCGGUACAGGAUGGACCCGCGUCUGAUUAGCUAGUUUGUAAGGUAACGGCUUACCAAGGCGACGAUCAGUAGCCGACCUGGGAGGGUGAUCGGCCCAAUUGGAACUGAGACACGGUCCAAACUCCUACGGGAGGCAGCAGUGGGGAAUAUUGCACAAUGGGCGAAAGCCUGAUGCAGCAACGCCGCGUGAGCGAUGAAGGCCUUCGGGUCGUAAAGCUCUGUCCUCAAGGAAGAUAAUGACGGUACUUGAGGAGGAAGCCCCGGCUAACUACGUGCCAGCCGCCGCAGUAA